CAAGUGGUAAUAAAGUGUAAAAAGUAGUUUACGUACCUAAUUUGUCGUAUCAUACACGAUAAAGAGAAGAAACAGGCGAUCCAAAAAAUUACAGCUGAGCCAUCAGACUGCAGGUGGCGACCAGUUGGUCGAGAAAAAGUUAGUAACCGUCGAUUUCCGAAAAAAGUGAACGGCCAUCGAUGGGAUGUUAGUUAAAAAAAACUUUUGCCACCCGAUUCAAAUGUUUCUAUCACCCAUGGUCCCGGAUCCGGAAAAAAAUAUUCGGUGCACUAAUAGAGUAGAGUGGGGCAAGAGUGCGCGUGGGGUAA
This is a long non-coding RNA of Armigeres subalbatus, 308 nucleotides long. RefSeq lists it as uncharacterized. The record is from RefSeq and is a predicted model, not a curated record. NCBI's taxonomy places the organism in Eukaryota, Metazoa, Arthropoda, Insecta, Diptera, Culicidae. The transcript is spliced from 3 exons.